Molecule: ribosomal RNA, 311 nt
Filed under: uncultured bacterium
Lineage: Bacteria
Description: bacterial SSU rRNA
Rfam family: Bacterial small subunit ribosomal RNA
Source: RNAcentral
GAUGAACGCUGGCGGCGUGCUUAACACAUGCAAGUCGAACGGGAUCCCUGGCAGCUUGCUGCCGGGGUGAGAGUGGCGAACGGGUGAGUAAUGCGUGACCGACCUGCCCCAUGCACCGGAAUAGCUCCUGGAAACGGGUGGUAAUGCCGGAUGUUCCACAUGAGCGCAUGCGAGUGUGGGAAAGGCUUUUUGCGGCAUGGGAUGGGGUCGCGUCCUAUCAGCUUGUUGGUGGGGUAACGGCCUACCAAGGCGUUGACGGGUAGCCGGCCUGAGAGGGCGACCGGCCACAUUGGGACUGAGAUACGGCCCAG